GACGAACGCUGGCGGCGUGCCUAAUACAUGCAAGUAGAACGCUGAAGCUUGGUGCUUGCACCGAGCGGAUGAGUUGCGAACGGGUGAGUAACGCGUAGGUAACCUGCCUGGUAGCGGGGGAUAACUAUUGGAAACGAUAGCUAAUACCGCAUAACAGUAGAUAUCGCAUGAUAUGUGCUUAAAAGGUGCAAUUGCACCACUACCAGAUGGACCUGCGUUGUAUUAGCUAGUUGGUGAGGUAACGGCUCACCAAGGCGACGAUACAUAGCCGACCUGAGAGGGUGAUCGGCCACACUGGGACUGAGACACGGCCCAGACUCCUACGGGAGGCAGCAGUAGGGAAUCUUCGGCAAUGGACGGAAGUCUGACCGAGCAACGCCGCGUGAGUGAAGAAGGUUUUCGGAUCGUAAAGCUCUGUUGUAAGAGAAGAACGAGU
RNAcentral lists this ribosomal RNA (436 nucleotides) under Streptococcus sp. oral taxon 061. RNAcentral's name for it is "bacterial SSU rRNA". It matches the Rfam family "Bacterial small subunit ribosomal RNA", at positions 28 to 454 of the family's 1533-position model. The record is from RNAcentral. Lineage: Bacteria; Bacillati; Bacillota; Bacilli; Lactobacillales; Streptococcaceae.